UUAGCGAUAUCAGAAUCGGCGGGCUGUUCAUGCCGCUGAUCCAGUCCCUGGCCGAUAGAGCAGGACAGGUGCCCACCGUGUCCGGGUACAGGUCCUCCUGGAAUUGGUCGCUCUGCGAAAGUGAAAGUCGACGAUCAGCCGGUCGGAAUUGCUAAUUGAUAGGUCAACGGGAUAAUAUAUCACCUUUCGCGGGACUAUCAUCGCGAUCGGUUCGCAGAGCCCGCGAGUCGCGUGCAGCUUGUAGAACCUGAACACCUCGCAGAUCGAGGUGCUCACCCCUCUUUUUGGCAUCACACCCAGCCCUCUCUGAGGGUUGCCGGAGAUGAACUGGCUGAGGUAGUGCAUCCAGGGAGCUUCGUUCACUACCUCGUAGUACCUGAUGUUGCCGUCACCCUAGGUCAGAACGAAAUCGUAGAACGCUUUGAGAUUACGAUCGCAAGGGAUCUAUAGAAGAGGCUCGAGCCUACCUUUCCCGCUAGGUACACCAUGUUGGUGUCGUUAUCGUAGUACGGAAAGACGACCCCGCUAGAGGAAUCGAUGGUCUCGCAGACCAGCGGAACGGUCAGAUCGUGCUGGCUCCAGAUAGCGUACUGCCUGUCCGAGUGUCUGCUGAAGCCUGUAGUCAGAAGCCUCCCCGAACCACCGAGGAACACCACCUUGCUAGCUUUGGUCCCAGCGUGACAGACUCCUUCCUGCCCAAGCGGUAAUCGAGAGCGGUUUUAUCAAAGCCUCCGCGGUCUAUGAAGCAAUUAAGUAGACACCUACCGAGACUACGAUGCCGGAUCUCGGCUCGAACACCCUCAACUUUUUGUCUUUGCAUGUGGUCGCCAGCAAGCUGCCGUCACGGUUCAACGAUAUGCUAUAGAUCACAUCCGGAUGUCUGUCGAUCACACUGACCGCCUCACCCCGGUUUAUGUCCCAAACGAUCACCAGGUGAUCGAAGCCGGCGCUGAAGAGCACGUUCUCGGCUACCGGGUGCCAUUCUAUGUAGGCGACCCGGCGUUUGUGCCCUUGGAGCUCCACCAGCCAAUCGGUCAGGUUUCGGGACAGGCCGCCGUCGGGGAUAUGCCAGAGCUUGAUCUAGAACCCGGGAAAAGCCAUCAGAAACGACUCUGGAACGAUCAGGAAGUGACACGCUGUUUGGAAACACUUGGACGAUGGUUUCGAAUAAGCACCCAGUCCAAUUGGUUCCAGCAGUUUCAAAAAGAAAAAAGCUGAUCCUACAGUGCAGUCGUCGGAGCAGGAGGCGAUGACGUUGUCGUUGAAAGGGUUCCACUUAAUGUCGAGGACUGGCCCUGUGUGCCCGGUGACCCUGCUGGCGUUGAAGUCUAGCCUCCCGGUCUGAAAGAUGGACGCGUGCUAUGACGUUAGAAGCCGGACUAAAAAUUGCAGGACGGCUUGUAACAACAUCCGCGAUUACGAGCUAUUUGCGUCGAUGUACAAUUCGAUACCCCGGGGUGUUACGAUAACACCGACGACGUUCGAUAAGAGAGCCCGAAGACACGCAUCGGCGAUUGCUCCACGUCUCAGCGAAGCGACCACUAACGAGAGACGGGCCAACAACACGAACGGAAAGUAUUUAUGCGUUUCUGGGACUCUCACCGGGCUCAGAAACCGUGAAGAAGAAAGUUCUCUGGAACGGAGCUGCCGAAAGCGCGCGCGAUCCUUCGAUCCCGCCGCGGUUUAUCAAUUGUUAUUAUUACCGUUCGGCCAUCGUCCGCGGUACGAGAAGAAUCCUGGUCAACGAUCCUAGUGUUGUACGUCCGAGCGGCCAUUGGCAGGGAACGCGCGCGGAAAACGAGCGGUAAUCGGCGCCGAUGUGAAAUCUUUUGGCGUUGGUCGCGCGUGGUGCAUAGGAGCCGAGCCGAGUGCAGCUAUGCGCGGCGAGACAGAUCAAAUUAUGCGACUUUUUCUCGCGAAAAGUGCGGCCGUCUGGCGGUCGGGGAAGGCUGUGUGCUGCCAGCGCGCCGGAGGCGAUCGCGAUCAAAAACGAGCGUGAUCGACGAGCAAGAAUUGUUUGUAAUUUCUAGAUGUAAUACAUAAUUGCACGAGAACGCUACCCACGCGGCUCGGACAAUUUCGAGAAGGAAAAAAUCGAAAGCGGCUAUCGGACGAUCGCGAAUCCGUGCCAGAUUAGAUCCGAUUAGUCCUAGCGCUUGCAGAGACUGCGGGCUCGGUAACACCGAUCCGAUAAGCCGAGUCCCAGAUUCGGUGAUCCCGAUUCCUCGAGAUCUGUUACAGCAAUUUUCAGCGUUCGAUCCGAUCCGAUCCGAUUGUAAUUCGAGAGAUCGUUUUUGUUAUUCUUUCGUUGCAUUCCUGUCGAUCGGACAAUACCAUCGAAUCGAUCGCGUUCCGCGAGUAACCCGACGUAAUAAUCAUCGCGUGCCACGCGGCCUGCAAUUAGGGUCACGAAUAUGUAUGUGUGUCUGUAUGUGUGUAGCACAGAACUUUCGGUUUAGCAGUCUCUUGAAAUGCUACAUGAACCGUUGGAGUUCGAACUGCAGAAAGUUAUUCAUUAUCGCGGCACGGUGGUCGAUCAUAGAAGAACCUGCUCGCCUCGUUAAUCGUCGGAACACGGUCCCUGGUCGGAGACAAAUAUAAUAGCUUUUUCUAUAUACAAAAGAAAACUUGUCGAACCAUGCAAACGAAACAAGUCGUUCUAACGAUACGGUAAACGCAGAUAUAUAACGUCGUGCUUCGUGCGGAAAGUCUUCGGUAAUUAAUAUUGAAACUAUUCUUGCCAUUUCUCCUCGACAUACCUCGAGACGAAAGGCAGGGUCCGUUUCACUCGGACUUGCGGGGAAUCGUAUCAAUUUUAUAUGGGAUCGAUCGGGCGACUGUCCUCGACAGGUAGAAUUUCAAUGAUCCGCCAUCGACGUUAACAAUCGUGGCAUGAACACGGUGAGUUUCUACUCGACCGUGUCAUUAGGAAUCGCGCGACUCCAAUGAUUCGUCAGGCUCUAACGAUCCGGUAAUGUAUAUGUUAAGUCUGGCAAUUUGCUUUUUCAACGGAAUGACUCGAAUCAAUGCACUUUUGUAGGAUAGCGAUGCGGAGAUCCUGACCACGUUUUCCAGCGAUCGGUACUGUUCUCCGCGUACCCGAAACGUCGGCACCGAUAAAAUCCUAAGUGGAAAUACCAGUAGCGACUGGCAACAAGAACGAUAGCCAACGGACUGUAGAGAACACUCGCCCGACUGGUCGAAAAGUCACCCGAACACCGAAACCACUCACCUGUUUAUCAUUGGUCAUGUCUGAUACCAAUCGGACUCGGCCGGCCGGGUACACGUGCGCUGUGAUACGUUGGUCGCCAGUGCAGAACAGGUACGUACAGGUGUGUAUGCGUGUGCGAUUGUGCGCGUCGCAAUUCGUACAAGCCAGGA
Non-coding RNA from Megalopta genalis, 3381 nucleotides. Lineage: Eukaryota; Metazoa; Arthropoda; Insecta; Hymenoptera; Halictidae. The record is from RefSeq and is a predicted model, not a curated record.